GAUGAACGCUGGCGGCGUGCCUAAUACAUGCAAGUCGAGCGAACAGACGAGGAGCUUGCUCCUCUGACGUUAGCGGCGGACGGGUGAGUAACACGUGGAUAACCUACCUAUAAGACUGGGAUAACUUCGGGAAACCGGAGCUAAUACCGGAUAAUAUAUUGAACCGCAUGGUUCAAUAGUGAAAGACGGUUUUGCUGUCACUUAUAGAUGGAUCCGCGCCGCAUUAGCUAGUUGGUAAGGUAACGGCUUACCAAGGCAACGAUGCGUAGCCGACCUGAGAGGGUGAUCGGCCACACUGGAACUGAGACACGGUCCAGACUCUACGGGAGGCAGCAGUAGGGAAUCUUCCGCAAUGGGCGAAAGCCUGACGGAGCAACGCCGCGUGAGUGAUGAAGGUCUUCGGAUCGUAAAACUCUGUUAUUAGGGAAGAACAAAUGUGUAAGUAACUAUGCACGUCUUGACGGUACCUAAUCAGAAAGCCACGGCUAACUACGUG
Molecule: ribosomal RNA, 496 nt
Filed under: uncultured bacterium
Lineage: Bacteria
Description: partial 16S ribosomal RNA
Rfam family: Bacterial small subunit ribosomal RNA
Source: RNAcentral